CACGUAGGGGGCAAGCGUUGUCCGGAUUUAUUGGGCGUAAAGAGCUCGUAGGUGGCUGAGUAAGUCGGAUGUUAAAUCCCCAGGCUCAACCUGGGACACCACCCGAUACUGCUCUGGCUAGAGUCCGGUAGGGGAGCGUGGAAUUCCUGGUGUAGUGGUGAAAUGCGUAGAGAUCAGGCGGAACACCCGUAGCGAAGGCGGCCAGCUGGGCCGUCCCUGACACUGAGGCGCGAAGGCGUGGGGAGCGACGGG
Molecule: ribosomal RNA, 252 nt
Filed under: uncultured bacterium
Lineage: Bacteria
Description: partial 16S ribosomal RNA
Rfam family: Bacterial small subunit ribosomal RNA
Source: RNAcentral